This 82-nucleotide transfer RNA is filed under the name Centruroides sculpturatus (bark scorpion). RNAcentral describes it as "tRNA-Leu". It matches the Rfam family "tRNA". Rfam says of the family: Transfer RNA (tRNA) molecules are approximately 80 nucleotides in length. Lineage: Eukaryota; Metazoa; Arthropoda; Arachnida; Scorpiones; Buthidae. The record is from RNAcentral.
GGUAGGGUGGCCGAGCGGUCCAAGGCGCUGGUUUUAGGCACCAGUCUCUUCGGAGGCGCGGGUUCAAAUCCCGUCCCUGCCA